AUGUAUAUAGUUGGAUUCAUAUGCUGUCCUCUUGCUUUGAUUUUCAUUCAUAACAGUUUGACUCUUGACAAGCUAGAUGGAGGCUUGGAAUGAAGCGGGUCAAACGGAGCAAGUACGAAAAGGAAAGCGUAAUUUGGAUGCGAGGUAAGUAAAGCUUACGCCCUCUUUUGUAAGUUAUGUGUUUAUUCAUAGGUUGUAAAUACGACAAAAGCUAUAUUUGAAAUAUGGUUCCGACACGAAAUGAAACGGGUCGGGACAUAUAAAAUAAUGAUAAACCAUGUUUAAUGGUAAAAUGGGCGAAAUGGUAAUUGGUCACGAGAUGACAUAAGCCUAAACGAAUAAAAAGAGUAAAACGACGAAUUAGUCAUGUGUAGACGAAAAAGAGUUGAAGUUUAAAACAACACCAUUUAAUAUUAAGCACAAAAUAUUUGGUAGUCUAGACCAAACGGGUCAAAUGGUAAUAUUUAUACCAUUUGAUAAUUAACGACUAAUAAGUGUAUGUCGAGUCUCAUGCUCGUAGGGUAAUUGGUUUAUGAAUUAGCGAGGCUAUGAAUUAGCAUAUUAUAGAGACAAGGUCUUAAAACGGGUCAAUAUGUUGACCCGAGCCAGGUACGCUUAUAUAUAUAGAUGUAUAGUUAAAAGUGUAUAACUUCCCUUCACGGGUCAAAAGGAGUAGAUAGGUAAAACGGGUUAAGAAUUCAUAAGAAACCCGUAAUUUGAACCUUGCACAUUAGUAAAUUGAUAUAACGUGAUAUGCAUGAUAUUUUGAAUAUGAUUGAUUGAUCUUUGAUAUUGGUUAAUAUGUAACAUAUUAGAAUUUCGAGAAACUAAUGUAUUGGUAUGUUAGAAAGAGCGAAAUCCGAGAUUUAGGCUUGAGUAUAAUGAACAAAGCAACCAAAAGAUGGAUUUACAGGGACUACCGUAAGUUACGGUAGUACCGUAAGUUACGGUAGCGGUCAGGAGCUUACGGUGUGAGUCUACUGGUUUACGAUGGACCAUUAUUGGAAAUUGACCACCGUAACUUACGGUGAAACCGUAAGUUACGGUAGGGCCUGAAUGUUUAUAAAUUUUAUAUAAUUGUAAAUUUUCAAAUUCAUUUCGAUCGUAGUUUCGAUCAAGUAUCAUUUCUAAGCAUUCUAAUAUAAAUGUUUAUGUAAACAUUUCAGUCUUAGGUACUCAAGGAUUAUGGGUGACGAUCAAGCAACUUUUGAAGGACCGAACACAUACUCUUGAAGCUUCCGCAUAAAUCAACUCGGUUUAAACAAUGUUUAUGAUGUAAACUGUUUGCUAAACAACUUUUGAAAUGUUUAAACGACGUACUCAAUUAUGUUAUGUUGUAUUAUUUUAAAAUUGUAACGUUUAAACAAACCCGUAUUUUUACAAAGUAUAUGUAGUCAUAAUUACAUGUUGUUUGUCGUAUACUUUACAAAAACCAUUAAAUAAUGACAAGGGUGUUACAAAUUGGUAAUCAGAGCUCAUGGUUAAAGAGUAAAUUGUGUUCGGUUCGAGGCUUGAUCGCAAAUCCGGUAAGUACAUGUAUAUUAAUGGUUUGUUAUGUGUUGAAAUGUUGUGAACAACACAUAGGGUUAUCGUGUGAUACACGUUACCUCAAUUAAAUGAUAAAUAUAGUUGACAAAAUUGCGCGCGUUGACGCGUAUAGUAGAAAAGCCUUGUAUUAUAAUACGGGCGAUUAUUGAAGUUGAUAUUACUAAUUCUUGUAAAUGUUUUAAUGGAAGGACACUCGCAUCUGAAGAUAGCGAGAGUUUAACAAAUUGCGGAUAUGAUGAUGGAACGGUCCGAAAUGUGACAAGAAGAGCAUACUCAUCAAGGACCUAAAUCGCGUAACGAUCGCAAAUAAGUAAUGGCAAGGAAUGCCCGUUGGGGCAAGCAUUACCAGUGCACAUUUUAAACUUAUAGUACAAAUAGUAAUAUGCAACAAAUACAUAGUGAAUGACAGUUGUAUAUAGAAUAUGAAACUUGGAAAACCUGGAUAGGUUACCUAUCCAGGAUGACGUUUCCAAGAGAAAUUAAGUAGAGAAUAUGUAUUAUUCACAAAUUGUGAAUAACAAGACAAUAACAGAAUUCAGU
Molecule: long non-coding RNA, 2088 nt
Filed under: Helianthus annuus (common sunflower)
Lineage: Eukaryota; Viridiplantae; Streptophyta; Magnoliopsida; Asterales; Asteraceae
Description: hypothetical non coding rna
Source: RNAcentral